CGCUCUUUAUUGUUUCAAGAUUUGGAAAGCAGGAGAACGAAGAACAGAGGGAACGCUUAUGCUGGAUCUUCGGUCGUUUUUCGUUUCAGCCGCUCAACGACAAUCUUAUGUUUGGUCCUUCUUCUUCAACGUUUUGAUCUUAACUCUGUGAAGCCUGAGUACAAACUCAUUAUGAAUUGUGGUAAGAUUCAUGCAUGAGUACAAACUCAUUAUGAAUUGUGGUUGCAGGAGGUGAUAGUGCAGUAGGUUGGGUUUUGGGAUUUCUUGGUACAUGCAAUGACCUUUCAAGAACUUUCGGUUGGGGUGGUUCAAUCCCUAUUUACUGGAAAUCCGUAGUCAAGAAGACUCUCGAGAAUGCAUGCACAGGCAAACUCUGUCGUUUGGAUAGGCAAGUCUCUCAUAUGAAUGAUCUUAAUUUGUAAAUCUUCAGGUUUUGAUCUUAACUCUGUGAAGCCUCAUGAGUACAAACUCAUUAUGAAUUGUGGUUGCAGGAGGUGAUAGUGCAGUAGGUUGGGUUUUGGGACUUCUCGGUAUAGGCAACGACCUUUCAAGAACUUUUGGUUGGGGUGGUUCAAUCCCUAUUUACUGGAAUUUCGUAGUCAAGAAGACUCUCGACAAUGCCUACACAGGCAAACUCUGUCGUUUGAACAGGCAAGUCUCUCAUAUAAACAUAGGAAAGAACAAUAGAUAUGAAAUUAGUUAUAGAAACUUCCCAGCUAACUAAUCUGAUUGUAUGUUAAAGCAUAAGUAUUGAUCAAAAUGGGGUGGUAGAAGUAUGUUCUUCUGCGUUUGCAUUUUUUUCGUCUUAUUCUUUAUACAUAGAAGAUAUUUAUUGGCCAAACAUUUAGU
Impatiens glandulifera is the source of this 849-nucleotide long non-coding RNA. RefSeq lists it as uncharacterized. The record is from RefSeq and is a predicted model, not a curated record. The transcript has 6 exons. NCBI's taxonomy places the organism in Eukaryota, Viridiplantae, Streptophyta, Magnoliopsida, Ericales, Balsaminaceae.